CCAAAAGAGAGAUGCCAUGGAGGGACUGGGAGAAUAACAUGUGCCAGGUGUUCUCCGAACCAGUUUUGGCAGUUAUGGUUUCAAGAGUGGAGUUUCAAAACACCCAGUUAUACAACAGCUGCCCUUUGAAUAGGAGUUCCACCCACUGUUCCCAUUGGGAACUCAAGAUGGGAGGGAAGACUCUGUUGUGAACCUAGCCUUUCUAGUUAUAACGGA
Non-coding RNA from Cricetulus griseus (Chinese hamster), 216 nucleotides. The record is from RefSeq and is a predicted model, not a curated record. Lineage: Eukaryota; Metazoa; Chordata; Mammalia; Rodentia; Cricetidae.